CUGCUCCCAGGAGGCUCUGUGAAUUUGAUCUCGGGACCAGGGGCAGAAAAAUUGGACUCAUCCUUCCACUAAGGAAUGUGAAGACUUCCUUCAGGAGUUCAAACUGCUUCUAAGGUGGAUGCUAAAAACUGAGACGUCUCAACAAACAACCAACCAAACAACUGAGCCCUCUAAGUUUCGGCUCUUUUGAAUCCAUACAUUUUUCUCCUCCACCCAAAGCUUUGCGUUUGUAAGUGAAAUUCCUGAUUCUCCAGUUUUAAGAUCCUAAUUUGGGAGUUAAAGGUUGAACUAACAUCUUUUCUGUUUGCAUUCCAGCUUUCACAAUCCUUAUCCUCCUCAAGGCAAUGGCCCUCCGGUUGAAAAGGACAAAUCUGAUGUACAAGGAUGUGGGGAAAAGCAAAGCACAGUAAAACACUUUACAGCAUUGUGCUGGCACGUUAACUUUCAUUUUCAUCCAAUAAUAAGCGGUGAUAAAGUAAAUUAUAAAAUAAUUUUUUUAAACAGCUAUUUCGGAAAGUCAACAAGGCAACAUAAAUAGGUGACAUUGAGGAUUGUGCUGUCCAGAAGGAGGAAGAUAAUCUACUGUUUUUCCAUUGUUCUGUGGCCAGAUUUUGGGUUCAUACUCUAAGUGGAUCAUUUAUGAUCCUGAGAGGUUCAGGUACAAAGAAUAGACAGAUACUGUGUUAGUCUGUUCGGGCUGCUAUAACAAAAAUACCAUUGACUGGGUUUCUUAAACAACAAAUAGUUAUUUCUCAUAGUUCUCGUGGCUGGGAAAUCCAAGAUCAAGACCCUGGUAGAUUUGACAUCUGGUGAAGGCCAGCUUCCUGCUUGGUACAUGGUGGCAAGGGGAAGGGAGCUUUCUAGGGUCUCUUUUAUUAGGGUAGUAAUCCCUUUCAUGAGCCUCCACCCUCAUGAUCUAAUCACCUCCCAGACAGCACCUCCAAAUACCAUCACAUUGGAGGUUAGGAUUUCAACAUAUGAAUUUUCGAGGGACACAAACAUUCAGUCCAUAACAGGUAGUGACACCACAAUGUGUGGGGUAUGGUUAAUAAAGCCGUGUUUAGUUAAAACAAAACAAAACAAAACAAAACAAAACAAAACACCCAAAACCAAUAAAACCCAAAACCUCGGGAGAUUUUAUCAGUUGACUUCAAAUAUCUACAAGGCUUUCCUUUCUCAGUAUUUUAAAUUACACUUCACAUGUGUUUUGGGUUGUAUUACUUCAUGUACAUUUUUGGAUAAGGAUGGAUAGUAAUACAUUUCUAAGCAAAUACA
This 1275-nucleotide long non-coding RNA is filed under the name Vulpes vulpes (red fox). Its description in RNAcentral is "lncRNA (ENSVVUG00000019386.1)". Lineage: Eukaryota; Metazoa; Chordata; Mammalia; Carnivora; Canidae. The record is from RNAcentral.